Molecule: ribosomal RNA, 476 nt
Filed under: uncultured bacterium
Lineage: Bacteria
Description: bacterial SSU rRNA
Rfam family: Bacterial small subunit ribosomal RNA
Source: RNAcentral
ACUCCUACGGGAGGCAGCAGUGGGGAAUAUUGCACAAUGGGCGCAAGCCUGAUGCAGCCAUGCCGCGUGUGUGAAGAAGGCCUUCGGGUUGUAAAGCACUUUCAGUCGUGAGGAAGGUAGUGUAGUUAAUAGCUGCAUUAUUUGUACGUUAGCGACAGAAGAAGCACCGGCUAACUCCGUGCCAGCAGCCGCGGUAAUACGGAGGGUGCGAGCGUUAAUCGGAAUUACUGGGCGUAAAGCGCAUGCAGGUGGUUGUUAAGUCAGAUGUGAAAGCCCGGGGCUCAACCUCGGAAUAGCAUUUGAAACUGGCAGACUAGAGUACUGGUAGAGGGGGUUAGGAAUUUCAGGUGUAGCGGUGAAAUGCGUAGAGAUCGUGAAGGUAAUACCGGUGGCGAAGGCGGCCCCUGGACAGAUACUGACACUCAGAUGCGAAAGCGUGGGAGCAAACAGGAUUAGAUACCCCGUGUAGACUGUCA